CCCAGGACGGUGUGACCCCAGAGUGACCCCAGAUGUGACCCCAGAGUGACCCCAGUGUGACCCCAGAGUGACUCCAGAGUGACCCCAGUGUGACCCCAGAUGUGACCCCAGUGUGACCCCAGAGUGACCCC
This is a long non-coding RNA of Corvus hawaiiensis (hawaiian crow), 131 nucleotides long. RefSeq lists it as uncharacterized. Lineage: Eukaryota; Metazoa; Chordata; Aves; Passeriformes; Corvidae. The record is from RefSeq and is a predicted model, not a curated record. The transcript has 3 exons.